GACAUGGAGGAAAUGUCCUGGAAAGCAUUGUCAGACUGGUCCACCCAAGACUCACUGGACGUUAAAAAUGCAACUUCUUCAAUGGUAUUCGAUUUUACUGCAAAACAUCUCUUUGGUUAUGAUCCGGAGAAAGCUAAAGACAAGAACAUGAGCGAGAGGUUCACUUACUUCCUCCAAGGUCUAAUGUCAUUCCCGCUUAACAUCCCGGGAACCGCUUUCCACAAAUGCUUGGAAGUAAGAACAAUUAUUUUCAACUUACUUGAAAGGCCUCACCAGGAAACUUUAAUUUCUCUAUGAUAUGCAGGCUCCACAAAACUCUUGGAAACAGUUCACUUAAAAAUUAUUUUGUCAGGUUUUGAGAUCCAAGACACACGAUCAUGUAUUUCAUGUUCAAACUAAUUUUAAUUAAGAUAAGCUGACUUGUGUUUGUGUCCAGAAUCAAAAGAUGGUUCUUAGGCUGAUGAAGGAUCUCAUAGACGAGAGACGAGCUAUGCCCGAGAAACACAGAGGGAAUUUCAUAGAUCAAAUGAUUGAUGGCAUAAAGACUGAGAGCUUCUUGUCCGAUGAUUUUGUCAUGUAUGUGAUGUUUGGGAUCCUCUUUGCAAGUUUCGAGACGAUAGCAUCUACUUUAACCCUUGCCAUUAUGUUUCUAAUCGAACAUCCUAUGGUUGUAAAAGAA
Punica granatum (pomegranate) is the source of this 679-nucleotide non-coding RNA. The record is from RefSeq and is a predicted model, not a curated record. Lineage: Eukaryota; Viridiplantae; Streptophyta; Magnoliopsida; Myrtales; Lythraceae.